RNAcentral lists this ribosomal RNA (492 nucleotides) under uncultured bacterium. Its description in RNAcentral is "partial 16S ribosomal RNA". It matches the Rfam family "Bacterial small subunit ribosomal RNA", at positions 29 to 507 of the family's 1533-position model. The record is from RNAcentral.
AGUGAACGCUGGCGGUAGGCCUAACACAUGCAAGUCGAACGGCAGCACAGUAAGAGCUUGCUCUUACGGGUGGCGAGUGGCGGACGGGUGAGGAAUACAUCGGAAUCUACUUUUUCGUGGGGGAUAACGUAGGGAAACUUACGCUAAUACCGCAUACGACCUACGGGUGAAAGCAGGGGAUCUUCGGACCUUGCGCGAUUGACUGAGCCGAUGUCGGAUUAGCUAGUUGGCGGGGUAAAGGCCCACCAAGGCGACGAUCCGUAGCUGGUCUGAGAGGAUGAUCAGCCACACUGGAACUGAGACACGGUCCAGACUCCUACGGGAGGCAGCAGUGGGGAAUAUUGGACAAUGGGCGCAAGCCUGAUCCAGCCAUACCGCGUGGGUGAAGAAGGCCUUCGGGUUGUAAAGCCCUUUUGUUGGGAAAGAAAAGCAGCAGGUUAAUACCCCGCUGUUCUGACAGUACCCAAAGAAUAAGCACCGGCUAACUUCGUG